AUUGAACGCUGGCGGCAGGCCUAACACAUGCAAGUCGAGCGGAUGAAGGGAGCUUGCUCCUGGAUUCAGCGGCGGACGGGUGAGUAAUGCCUAGGAAUCUGCCUGGUAGUGGGGGAUAACGUCCGGAAACGGGCGCUAAUACCGCAUACGUCCUGAGGGAGAAAGUGGGGGAUCUUCGGACCUCACGCUAUCAGAUGAGCCUAGGUCGGAUUAGCUAGCUGGUGGGGUAAAGGCCUACCAAGGCGACGAUCCGUAACUGGUCUGAGAGGAUGAUCGGUCACACUGGAACUGAGACACGGUCCAGAGUACUACGGGAGGCAGCAGUGGGGAAUAUUGGACAAUGGGCGAAAGCCUGAUCCAGCCAUGCCGCGUGUGUGAAGAAGGUCUUCGGAUUGUAAAGCACUUUAAGUUGGGAGGAAGGGCAGUAAGUUAAUACCUUGCUGUUUUGACGUUACCAACAGAAUAAGCACCGGCUAACUUCGUG
This 484-nucleotide ribosomal RNA is filed under the name uncultured bacterium. Its description in RNAcentral is "partial 16S ribosomal RNA". It matches the Rfam family "Bacterial small subunit ribosomal RNA", at positions 30 to 507 of the family's 1533-position model. The record is from RNAcentral.